AGAGUUUGAUCAUGGUUUAGGAUGAACGCUAGCGGGAGGCCUUUACACGUGCAAGUCGAAGGGAAUUAGUAGCAAUACCAUGAGAGGGGGGCACGGGUGAGUAACGCGUAUGCAACCUGCCUUUAACUGAGGGAUAGCCCAUAGAAAUGUGGAUUAAUACCUCAUAGUUCUGAGAAGCUGCAUGGUUUUUCAAAUAAAGCUCCGGCGGUUAAAGAUGGGCAUGCGUGACAUUAGCUAGUUGGUAAGGUAACGGCUUACCAAGGCUACGAUGUCUAGGGGUUCUGAGAGGAUGAUCCCCCACACUGGUACUGAGACACGGACCAGACUCCUACGGGAAGCAGCAGUGAGGAAUAUUGGUCAAUGGGCGCAAGCCUGAACCAGCCAUCCCGCGUGAAGGAUGACGGCCCUAUGGGUUUGAAACUGCUUUUGUACAGGAAGAAAAUCCCUACGUGUAGGGACCUGCCGGUACUGUACGAAAAAAAUCGGCUAACUCCGGGCCAGCAGCCGCGGAAAAACGGAGGAUGAAACGUAAUCCGGAUUAUUUGG
Molecule: ribosomal RNA, 546 nt
Filed under: uncultured bacterium
Lineage: Bacteria
Description: bacterial SSU rRNA
Rfam family: Bacterial small subunit ribosomal RNA
Source: RNAcentral